This 529-nucleotide ribosomal RNA is filed under the name uncultured bacterium. RNAcentral's name for it is "bacterial SSU rRNA". It matches the Rfam family "Bacterial small subunit ribosomal RNA", at positions 8 to 518 of the family's 1533-position model. The record is from RNAcentral.
AGAGUUUGAUCCUGGCUCAGGAUGAACGCUGGCGGCGUGCCUAAUACAUGCAAGUCGAACGAGAACCGGAGCUUGCUCCGAUUCGAGUGGCGAACGGGUGAGUAACACGUAGGUAACCUGCCUUUCAGUUUGGGAUACCCGAGGGAAAACUUCGGCUAAUACCGAAUACGAAUUUAAGAGGCAUCUCUUGAAUUUGAAAGGGGCUUUCAAGCCCCGCUGAUUGAUGGACCUGCGGCGCAUUAGCUAGUUGGUGAGAUAACAGCCCACCAAGGCGAGGAUGCGUAGCCGACCUGAGAGGGUGAACGGCCACAAUGGGACUGAGACACGGCCCAUACUCCUACGGGAGGCAGCAGUAGGGAGUUUUCGGCAAUGGGGGAAACCCUGACCGAGCAACGCCGCGUGAACGAAUGAAGGUCUUCGGAUUGUAAAGUUCUGUUGGUAGGGGAUGAAUGAUUCGUGGAAGGAAAUGUCACGAAUUUGACAGUACUCUACCAAGAAACGCCACGGCUAACUACGUGCCAGCCGCGGC